GAGGGGACCCCUCUGGAAUCCGGCGAUCCCCGGGCGCAGAUGCAGGAGCGGGUGGGGAGAGCCGCGUUCCUGGCAUGUUUGCCUCGAGUUAGUCACGAAGGAAUCGAAGAGAGCCUUAGUCUUCGAGGCUUUUCCCUUCCUGUGAGCCCCUUUGAGGCCAGCACAUUGAUUUUUUUUUCUUUCGCAGAACAAUUUCGGACCUCCUGGGGUCUAUGCUAGGUAUGAGGUGUAUCUUUGCCCUCCAUCAAGUAGCAAAGAUGGACAUGUAAACAAAUUUCGACACUGUGAUGACUGCCACAAAAAGCAGCAUUAUGAGGUUGAAUGUAAAAGGAUAACCUUAGCGGCGGCGGGGGCCGGAGGAUGAAGGAAGGCUUCCUGAGAGUCUACAAAUAAACAUUUUAUAAAGAUGAUCCUUCAAUACAUAUUCUACAGCCCAGUUAAAAUGUGAGAGGCCAUGAUCUACAGACAGCCAUUUAUAAAGGUGGAUCAGGGCCGGACACGGUGGCUCAACGUCUGUAAUCCCGGCACUGUGGGAGGCCAAAGCGGGAGGAUCGCUUGAGCCCAGGAGUUCGAGACCAACCUGGCCAACAUGGUGAGACCCCAUCUUUACAAAAAAAUAUAUAUAUCCAGGCAUAGUGGUGUGCACCUGUGGUCCUGUGGUCCCAGCUACUCAGGAAGCUGAGGCAGUUGAGGCUGCAGUGAGCCACGUUCUGGCCACUACACUCCAGCCUGGGCAUCAAAGUGACAAGAC
This 751-nucleotide long non-coding RNA is filed under the name Homo sapiens (human). RNAcentral's name for it is "non-protein coding EIF3J-DT:44". Lineage: Eukaryota; Metazoa; Chordata; Mammalia; Primates; Hominidae. The record is from RNAcentral.